RNAcentral lists this ribosomal RNA (468 nucleotides) under Lactobacillus helveticus. Its description in RNAcentral is "bacterial LSU rRNA". It matches the Rfam family "Bacterial large subunit ribosomal RNA", at positions 1 to 474 of the family's 2925-position model. The record is from RNAcentral. Lineage: Bacteria; Bacillati; Bacillota; Bacilli; Lactobacillales; Lactobacillaceae.
GGUCAAGUAGAAAAGGGCGCACGGUGAAUGCCUAGGCACUAAAAGCCGAUGAAGGACGUGACGAACUACGAAAAGCUUCGGGGAGCGGUAAGUACGCAGUGAUCCGGAGAUGUCCGAAUGGGGGAACCCAAUGCAGCGAUGCAUUAUUGGUUGAUGAAUAGAUAGUCAAUCAAGGGAAUACGCAGUGAACUGAAACAUCUAAGUAGCUGCAGGAAGAGAAAGAAAAAUCGAUUUCCUUAGUAGCGGCGAGCGAAGAGGAAAGAGCCCAAACCAAGUGAUUUAUCAUUUGGGGUUGUAGGACUGCAACGUGGUAGCGUGAGUGAUAGCAGAAUUAUCUGGGAAGGUAAGCCAGAGAGGGUGAGAGCCCCGUAAGCGAAAUUGCAAGCGCGCCUAGCAGAAUCCUGAGUAGGCCGGGACACGAGAAAUCCCGGUUGAAACCGCGAGGACCAUCUCGCAAGGCUAAAUACU